GAGUUUGAUCGUGGCUCAGAGUGAACGCUGGCGGUAGGCCUAACACAUGCAAGUCGAACGGUAACAGGUCUUUCGGGAUGCUGACGAGUGGCGGACGGGUGAGGAAUACAUCGGAAUCUGCUCAGUCGUGGGGGAUAACGCAUGGAAACGUGCGCUAAUACCGCAUACGACCUUCGGGUGAAAGCAGGGGAAUCUCUCGGGAUCCUUGCGCGAUUGAAUGAGCCGAUGUCGGAUUAGCUAGUUGGUAGGGUAAAAGCCUACCAAGGCCACGAUCCGUAGCUGGUCUGAGAGGAUGAUCAGCCACACUGGGACUGAGACACGGCCCAGACUCCUGCGGGAGGCAGCAGUGGGGAAUAUUGGACAAUGGGGGCAACCCUGAUCCAGCCAUACCGCGUGGGUGAAGAAGGCCUUCUGGGUUGUAAAGCCCUUUUGUUGGGGAAGAAAAACAACGGGUUAAUACCCCGUUGGUAUGACGGUACCCAAAGAAUAAGCACCGGCUAACUUCGUGCCAGCAGCCGCGGUAAUACGAAGGGUGCAAGCGUUACUCGGAAUUACUGGGCGUAAAGGGUGCGUAGGUGGUUGCGCCAGUCUGUCGUGAAAGCCCUGGGCUUAACCUGGGAAUGGCGAUGGAAACUGCGCAACUAGAGUGUGACAGAGGGUGGUGGAAUUCCUGGUGUAGCAGUGAAAUGCGUAGAGAUCAGGAGGAACAUUCGUGGCGAAGGCGGCCACCUGGGUCAACACUGACACUGAGGCACGAAAGCGUGGGGAGCAAACAGGAUUAGAUACCCUGGUAGUCCACGCCCUAAACGAUGCGAACUGGAUGCUGGGUCCAACUUGGGAUUCAGUAUCGAAGCUAACGCGUUAAGUUCGCCGCCUGGGGAGUACGGUCGCAAGACUGAAACUCAAAGGAAUUGACGGGGGCCCGCACAAGCGGUGGAGUAUGUGGUUUAAUUCGAUGCAACGCGCAGAACCUUACCUGGCCUUGACAUGCACGGAACCUUUG
Molecule: ribosomal RNA, 1003 nt
Filed under: uncultured Lysobacterales bacterium
Lineage: Bacteria; Pseudomonadati; Pseudomonadota; Gammaproteobacteria; Lysobacterales
Description: bacterial SSU rRNA
Rfam family: Bacterial small subunit ribosomal RNA
Source: RNAcentral